This 568-nucleotide ribosomal RNA is filed under the name Pulchrana siberu (Siberut Island frog). RNAcentral's name for it is "partial 16S ribosomal RNA". It matches the Rfam family "Bacterial large subunit ribosomal RNA", at positions 1837 to 2620 of the family's 2925-position model. Lineage: Eukaryota; Metazoa; Chordata; Amphibia; Anura; Ranidae. The record is from RNAcentral.
UUAAUCAUAAAGAAGGUCUAGCCUGCCCGGUGACAAAGUUUAACGGCCGCGGUACCCUGACCGUGCGAAGGUAGCAUAAUCACUUGUUCUUUAAAUGGGGACUCGUAUCAACGGCAUCACGAGGGCUACACUGUCUCCUCCCCCCAAUCAGUGAAACUGAUCUCCCCGUGAAGAAGCGGGGAUUUAACUAUAAGACGAGAAGACCCCAUGGAGCUUCAAGUCCAACACUUAACCCACGCCUGCACACCCACUAAGCUACAAGGACCUAAGUGCCGACUUUGGGUUGGGGGGACCGCGGAGCACAAUCAAACCUCCACGACUAAUGGGCCUUGCCCUUAUCCACGAACAACACUUCUAAGAAUCAACAAACUGAUGCUUAAUGAUCCGAUAACUCGACUAACGAACCAAGUUACCCUGGGGAUAACAGCGCAAUCCACUUCAAGAGUCCCUAUCGACAAGCGGGUUUACGACCUCGAUGUUGGAUCAGGGUAUCCCAGUGGUGCAGCAGCUACUAAAGGUUCGUUUGUUCAACGAUUAAAACCCUACGUGAUURRRUUUUCAGACCGGA